UAGCCAGACUCCUACGGGAGGCAGCAGUGGGGGAUAUUGCACAAUGGGGGAAACCCUGAUGCAGCGACGCCGCGUGGGUGAAGAAGCGCCUCGGCGCGUAAAGCCCUGUCAGCAGGGAAGAAAAUGACGGUACCUGAAGAAGAAGCCCCGGCUGACUACGUGCCAGCAGCCGCGGUAAUACGUAGGGGGCAAGCGUUAUCCGGAUUUACUGGGUGUAAAGGGGGCGCAGACGGCGAUGCAAGCCAGGAGUGAAAGCCCGGGGCCCAACCCCGGGACUGCUCUUGGAACUGCGUGGCUAGAGUGCAGGAGGGGCAGGCGGAAUUCCUGGUGUAGCGGUGAAAUGCGUAGAUAUCAGGAGGAACACCGGUGGCGAAGGCGGCCUGCUGGGCCACGACUGACGCUGAGGCGCGAAAGCUAGGGGAGCGAACAGGAUUAGAUACCCCAGUA
Molecule: ribosomal RNA, 447 nt
Filed under: uncultured bacterium
Lineage: Bacteria
Description: bacterial SSU rRNA
Rfam family: Bacterial small subunit ribosomal RNA
Source: RNAcentral